GUUAUUACCGUCUCCCCGUCCACGCUGAAACA
RNAcentral lists this non-coding RNA (32 nucleotides) under Syntrophotalea carbinolica DSM 2380. Lineage: Bacteria; Pseudomonadati; Thermodesulfobacteriota; Desulfuromonadia; Desulfuromonadales; Syntrophotaleaceae. The record is from RNAcentral.